GCAGACUGGCGAGGAACGCGUGAGUAAUUUACCUCCAAAUCGAACAUAGCCUUACGAAAGUGAGAGUAAUAUUCGAUGUGUCUCGUUUUCCGCAAGGGAAACGGGGUAAAGGUGGCUCGCAAGAGCUAUUGUUUGGAGAUGAGCUCGCGUACUAUCAGCUAGUUGGUAGGGUAACGGCCUACCAAGGCUAUUGACGGUUAGCUGGCCUGAGAGGGUGGUCAGCCGCACGGGGACUGAGACACUGCCCCGACUCCUACGGGAGGCUGCAGUCGAGGAUAUUUAGCAAUGGGGGAAACCCUGACUAUGCGACGCCGCGUGAGGGAUGAAGGUUUUCGGAUCGUAAACCUCUUUCGAUGGGAAAGAACGUCCCAUACUCUAACAUAGUGUGGGAUUGACGGUACCUAGAGAAGAAGCCAUGGCCAACUCCGUGCCAGCAGCCGCGGUAAUACGGGGAUGGCGAGCGUUACUCGGAUUCAUUGGGUGUAAAGGGCAGGUAGGCGGUUAUGUAAGUUGGGGGUGAAAUCCUAAGGCUCAACCUUAGAACUGCCUUCAAUACUGCAUAGCUUGAGGCUAGAAGAGGAGAGCGGAAUUCCCGGUGUAAGGGUGAAAUCUGUAGAUAUCGGGAGGAACACCAGUGGCGAAAGCGGCUCUCUGGUCUGGAUCUGACGCUAAUCUGCGAAAGCUCGGGUAGCAAACAGGAUUAGAUACCCUGGUAGUCCGAGCCGUAAACGAUGAGCACUAGGUGUUGGUGGUAACCCUUUCAGCGCCGUAAGAUAACUCGUUAAGUGCUCCACCUGGGGACUACGACCGCAGGUUGA
This 818-nucleotide ribosomal RNA is filed under the name uncultured bacterium. Its description in RNAcentral is "bacterial SSU rRNA". It matches the Rfam family "Bacterial small subunit ribosomal RNA", at positions 98 to 897 of the family's 1533-position model. The record is from RNAcentral.